This is a long non-coding RNA of Salvia miltiorrhiza (redroot sage), 2015 nucleotides long. RefSeq lists it as uncharacterized. The transcript is spliced from 3 exons. Lineage: Eukaryota; Viridiplantae; Streptophyta; Magnoliopsida; Lamiales; Lamiaceae. The record is from RefSeq and is a predicted model, not a curated record.
CAAAAUAAGAGUUGUAUAAAUAAGAUAUAUGUCAAUUAUUUUACACCAUGAAUGAUAUAGAAAUUUGAUAUCAUAAUAUCAUAUCAUUGCAUAAGGUAGAAAAAACAAGGAUGAUAGUCAUUUCAAAGAUCUAAAUAAUCAUUUGAAUCAUUAUUUACCUAAAUUUCACAUAUCAAAGGUAGAAAAAACAUCAUGCCCAAAAUAAAACACAAGCACAUGUUUUAUUCGCUAUGAUCUAAAUCAUUAUUUAUAGAGUCAGAUGUUUCUAAGACAUAUUCAUUGUUGUCAACAUCUUCAUCAACCUCAUCUACUAGAUAUACCAAAGCACCAUCUGAAUGAAUUGGCAUGAUAUCAUCAUCAAUUGUCGUGUGAGGGGUCCAUUCAACAAGCUCUUCUUGAAAAGGAGUAGGAUCCAUAGGAAUAUUUUGAAUAGUUGAUACUUCUACAAGUGGUCUUGCCUUCACCUUACAAGCUGCCAACCAAUCUCUCCUACUUUGAUUUUUACUUGAAAAUUAUUCUUUAGUGAAACGUCAUAAGUCUGAACACCUACUUCCCACAAAUGACUCAAUUCAGCUAUAAGUGGAUGGAGAAAGAUAUCAAUCAUGUCUUUUGGAUUAUGUGGGCCAGGAAUUACAGCCGUGAGAAACAUAUGUUGUUCUCUCAUGCACAUCCAAGGUGGAAGAUUAUAUUAAGGCUGACAAUUUUCGACACGACACGAAAGCACGAGACGAAACCGCACGAAAUUAAUGGGUUAAUAACAGUUGAGACGUGCUACAGUUCAUUGAGACAGUUGCAAUAGUUCCGAUGUUUAUAUAAAGAAAAUGGCUGAGAAGAUGCUACCAAAGUUUGAGAAGUAUUGGUCCGAUUUCAGCUUGAUCUUGACUAUGGCUGUGGUCUUUGAUCCACGCUAUAAGUUUCAAUUUGUGGAAUUCUUUUAUAAGAAGUUGUAUGGCCCCAACUCUCGUCAGUGUUCACUAGUAAGAGAGAAGUUAUUUGCUCUUUUUGAAGAAUAUCGUAAGAGCAACGACGGUUUUGGUCUUGCUAGAAGUGGGGGUUCGACAUUAAAUGAUUCAACCUGUGAAUUCACAAACGAAGAAUCUAAAGCGGUGGUUGAAGAGUUUAGUGCUUUGGAUGAGUUUGGAUUAAGCGAACAAAAGUCACAAUUAGAGUUGUAUAUGCAAGAAGAUUGGAUGCCAAAUCGAGUCUUGAUGUUCUUGGCUUUUGGAAAUGGAAUCAAUACAAAUAUCCACAAGUAGCUUGCAUGGCUCGUGAUAUUUUGAGCAUUCCCAUAACUACGGUUGCUUUUGAAGUUGUUUUUAGUGUUGGUGGAAGAGUACUUGAUCAAUACCGUAGCUCACUUAAAGCAAUCACAAUGAAGGUAAUUAUUUGCACUAGAGAUUGGUUGUUUGGAGAAAAAGCCUUCUAAAGUGAAGUACCAACGUGUGAGUUAGCCGAAGACUUUCUACACGGCGAUGAUGAAUCUCAAACGGAAUCAUCCUCGAUCUCCACUAUUGCUGUUGAUGGUUAGUUUGAUCCAUAAUUGAGAUAAGAUUAUAUUGAGUCUCUACAAAUUAUAAAACUUAGGCCCUUUCCUAAUCGGAUAUUUGGAUGCACAUGUUCUUAUAUUUUCAUCCUGAAAUUUUCAGGAUGAGUAUAUGUUCUGAUAUGGAUUUCAGCCUGGUAUGUUUUGAUAUUUUCCUAAUGUAAUUAUUUAUAGAUCAAACAUCAAAGUGACACUAUUAAAUAUUAAUGAUUAUAAUGAUAUUUCAUGGAGUGUGCAGUGCAGGUGCUUUCAAGUUUCAAAGCUAGGGGAAAUGAAGAAUUAUUUGUGGAUUGGACUCCAAGAACGGGCACUAGAUGGCGAUAUUUUUAUGUUGCUAGACUUUUAUUUUGUUGAACUUGAAACACUUCACUAGAUGGCGAUAUUUUUAUGUUGCUAGACUUUUAUUUUGUUGGACUGAACCUAUGAUUUAUGUUGAUGAAUGGGCCUUAUUAUGUGAGCUUUUAAAUUUCAA